GCAUUCUUAAGGACAGGAGAGAAUUCGCAACACAGAGCCCAGGGACCCGCUUGUUUCCAAAUGGCUCCCAUUCAGCGUUCACAUUUGCAGCAGUUAAAGCACACAAGUGUAUUCCAGAGGGCUCCCAGAUUCCAAAUCCAGGCCUUGUUUUCACUUCUCCCAGGUAGGUAGUGUAAUAAUUACUAACUCUGGCUGGCCAGAGGCUUCACACCUGGCUCACAGUUAAAGGAAUGAUGGAAAAUCAGCAGUGCUCGGC
Molecule: long non-coding RNA, 256 nt
Organism: Brienomyrus brachyistius
Lineage: Eukaryota; Metazoa; Chordata; Actinopteri; Osteoglossiformes; Mormyridae
Exons: 3
Source: RefSeq, a predicted model, not a curated record